AGUGAACGCUGGCGGUAGGCCUAACACAUGCAAGUCGAACAGCAGCACAGAAAGAGCUUGCUCUUACGGGUGGCGAGUGGCGGACGGGUGAGGAAUACAUCGGAAUCUACUUUUUCGUGGGGGAUAACGUAGGGAAACUUACGCUAAUACCGCAUACGACCUACGGGUGAAAGCAGGGGAUCUUCGGGCCUUGCGCGAUUGAAUGAGCCGAUGUCGGAUUAGCUAGUUGGCGGGGUAAAGGCCCACCAAGGCGACGAUCCGUAGCUGGUCUGAGAGGAUGAUCAGCCACACUGGAACUGAGACACGGUCCAGACUCCUACGGGAGGCAGCAGUGGGGAAUAUUGGACAAUGGGCGCAAGCCUGAUCCAGCCAUACCGCGUGGGUGAAGAAGGCCUUCGGGUUGUAAAGCCCUUUUGUUGGGAAAGAAAAGCAGCAGGUUAAUACCCCGCUGUUCUGACGGUACCCAAAGAAUAAGCACCGGCUAACUUCGUG
Molecule: ribosomal RNA, 492 nt
Filed under: uncultured bacterium
Lineage: Bacteria
Description: partial 16S ribosomal RNA
Rfam family: Bacterial small subunit ribosomal RNA
Source: RNAcentral